Long non-coding RNA from Condylostylus longicornis, 1540 nucleotides. RefSeq lists it as uncharacterized. The record is from RefSeq and is a predicted model, not a curated record. The transcript has 2 exons. Lineage: Eukaryota; Metazoa; Arthropoda; Insecta; Diptera; Dolichopodidae.
GUACCGUUGUAUAAUUUUACAGUCAUUUUAGUAUUAGAAAAUAUAGCAAAAAAAAUAUAAAGCAAACAAAUAAGAGAAAGCAAAACUAUUUUAUAAUCAAUUUUAUGUAUGUAGUGUGGUGCUGUGUGUGAUUGUAAAACUUAAAAUAAGAAAAAUUAUUUAAGAAUGCAAAAAUAUAUACACACAUCACCUAUUAUAAAAUAUUAAUUAAUAUUUAAAUAUAAUAUACUAUUAUAUUUGCGUACAUAAUAUUAUAAUAAUGUGAAUUUAAUUAAAAUCUAACAAUAUCUUUAUUUUUUUUUCACUUUCUUUAUUUAAUUUAAAAACAAAAAUGUGUAUUUAUUUAAUUAAGUGAUUUUUAUUGUAUAUAUAUACUAUACAUAUAUGAAUAUGCACACAAAGUUGCAUACAUAGAAAAAAAAAUGGGAAAUAUUAGAUAAAUACGAUAUUUAAGCGAUAUAACAAAAGAUAAGAACAAGAAAAAUUAAUUUUUCUUUUUCGUAAAAAUUUAGAAAAUAAUAGUUGUAAAACAAUCUAUACGCUUAUUAAAUUUUCUUUUAAUUUAUUUUUAAAAAAAUUUGUAUAUAAAUGUACAUUUUAUUGUACAUGUAAUUAUAUAUUUAUAUACAUUUUUAUAUCUUAUAAAUGAAAAAAUAAGAGCAAAAAAACGAAAAUAUAAUAUAAAAACAUGGAAAAAAAAUAUACAUAUUUACUUUAUGUAUAUAAUCAACAUCUUAUCGAUUUUUAUACAAAUAUGGCGGCUUUCUAUUGAAUUUAAGUAUGAUACGGUUACACUACUACUACAUUAUUACUAUGUAUUUAUAUUUGUAUGUUGAAAUAUAAAUGCAAAUAUACGGCAAAAUACUAGCUAUGUAAAUUAUACAUACGUAUAUGCACAUAUAAAUUUUAAACUCAAAAAAAAAAAAGAAAAAAAGAAAUUAACAAAAAGUAAAUUUUCAAAAGUAAAAAAUUUAAAAAAAUUCUUCAUUGUGUUUCAUUUUGAAAAUAUAAAAAUUUAAAAUGAGCUGUUAUACAAUUAAAUUUUUACAAUAUAAAUAAUAAUAUUUAAAUUAAAUAAAAAUAAAAUUAAUAAUUUACGUUUUUUUUUUAUUAAUUUUAUCAAUAAUAAUAAAAAAUAACAAAAAAAUAUAUUAUAUGUUUUUGCACAUACAUACAUGUAUAUAUUUAUUACACCUAUGUAUAUAACAUAGUAUUGCAAAACAUAUAAAUAAAAAUUUAUAUCAAUAUGUAUACUUAUAUGACAAGCGAAUGAAAGAAUGUAAAAACAGAAUAGAAUAAUAAUAAUUGUUAUUCAACGAAAAAGGAUUAUAAAAUAUAUACAUAAAUAUAUAUACAUUUAUAUAUUCAAACACACAUUUAAAAAAUAAAAAGAAUAAAAAAUUCCCUGUUCUUGUGCAAAGGAAUUUCAUUUUAAAGUUUUUGGAAUAUAAAUUUGAAUAUACGAGUAAAUAAGAAAAAAAGAAGAAAAUUCACUUAACAGAGAAAAAGUGCAAUGGGAAAAUGCUCAUAUACUCGUACA